GACGUAGGGGGCAAGCGUUGUUCGGAAUUAUUGGGCGUAAAGCGCUCGUAGGCGGGACUGGAAGUCCGUGUUGAAAGACCUCGGCUCAACUGAGGGACCGGCUCGGAUACUCUAGUUCUUGAGGCAAUCAGAGGGUGAUGGAAUUCCCGGUGUAGCGGUGAAAUGCGUUGAUAUCGGGAGGAACACCAGUGGCGAAGGCGAUCACCUGGGGUUGUUCUGACGCUGAGGAGCGAAAGCUAGGGGAGCAAACGGG
Molecule: ribosomal RNA, 253 nt
Filed under: uncultured bacterium
Lineage: Bacteria
Description: partial 16S ribosomal RNA
Rfam family: Bacterial small subunit ribosomal RNA
Source: RNAcentral